Oryza nivara is the source of this 206-nucleotide non-coding RNA. NCBI's taxonomy places the organism in Eukaryota, Viridiplantae, Streptophyta, Magnoliopsida, Poales, Poaceae. The record is from Rfam.
AAUAAGUGUAGCCAUAAGUUUCCGUGCUCAACUUUGAUCGUCCGUCUUAUUUGAAAUUUUUUUAUAAUUAGCAUUUUUGUUAUUAUGAGAUGAUAAAAUAUAAAUAGUACUUUACUCGUGACUUAUGUUUUUAAUUUUUUUUCAAAAAAAUUUUAAAUAAGACGAAUGGUUAAAGUUGGGCGCAAAAAAUCAUGGCUGCACUUAUU